GAUGAACGCUGGCGGCGUGCCUAAUACAUGCAAGUAGAACGCUGAAGGAGGAGCUUGCUCUUCUGGAUGAGUUGCGAACGGGUGAGUAACGCGUAGGUAACCUGCCUGGUAGCGGGGGAUAACUAUUGGAAACGAUAGCUAAUACCGCAUGACAACAGUUAUUGCAUGAUAACUGUUUAAAAGGGGCAACUGCUCCACUACCAGAUGGACCUGCGUUGUAUUAGCUAGUUGGUGAGGUAACGGCUCACCAAGGCGACGAUACAUAGCCGACCUGAGAGGGUGAUCGGCCACACUGGGACUGAGACACGGCCCAGACUCCUACGGGAGGCAGCAGUAGGGAAUCUUCGGCAAUGGACGGAAGUCUGACCGAACAACGCCGCGUGAGUGAAGAAGGUUUUCGGAUCGUAAAGCUCUGUUGUAAGAGAAGAACGAGUGUGAGAGUGGAAAGUUCACACUGUGACGGUAUCUUACCAGAAAGGGACGGCUAACUACGUG
RNAcentral lists this ribosomal RNA (495 nucleotides) under uncultured bacterium. RNAcentral's name for it is "partial 16S ribosomal RNA". It matches the Rfam family "Bacterial small subunit ribosomal RNA", at positions 28 to 507 of the family's 1533-position model. The record is from RNAcentral.